This 465-nucleotide ribosomal RNA is filed under the name Vreelandella stevensii. RNAcentral's name for it is "partial 16S ribosomal RNA". It matches the Rfam family "Bacterial small subunit ribosomal RNA", at positions 338 to 795 of the family's 1533-position model. The record is from RNAcentral. Lineage: Bacteria; Pseudomonadati; Pseudomonadota; Gammaproteobacteria; Oceanospirillales; Halomonadaceae.
CCUACGGGUGGCUGCAGUGGGGAAUAUUGGACAAUGGGGGGAACCCUGAUCCAGCCAUGCCGCGUGUGUGAAGAAGGCCCUCGGGUUGUGAAGCACUUUCAGUGAGGAAGAACGCCUGGUGGUUAAUACCCAUCAGGAAAGACAUCACUCACAGAAGAAGCACCGGCUAACUCCGUGCCAGCAGCCGCGGUAAUACGGAGGGUGCGAGCGUUAAUCGGAAUUACUGGGCGUAAAGCGCGCGUAGGUGGCUUGAUAAGCCGGUUGUGAAAGCCCCGGGCUCAACCUGGGAACGGCAUCCGGAACUGUCAAGCUAGAGUGCAGGAGAGGAAGGUAGAAUUCCCGGUGUAGCGGUGAAAUGCGUAGAGAUCGGGAGGAAUACCAGUGGCGAAGGCGGCCUUCUGGACUGACACUGACACUGAGGUGCGAAAGCGUGGGUAGCAAACAGGAUUAGAUACCCCAGUAGUC